GCAUGCUACCAUGCAGUCGAACGCUGAACCUGGUGCUUGCACCGGGUGGAUGAUGGCGAACGGGUGAGUAACACGUGAGUAACCUGCCCCCGACUUCGGGAUAAGCCCGGGAAACUGGGUCUAAUACCGGAUAUGACCCUCUAUCGCAUGAUUGUUGGUGGAAAGUUUUUUCGGUUGGGGAUGGGCUCGCGGCCUAUCAGUUUGUUGGUGAGGUAAUGGCUCACCAAGACGACGACGGGUAGCCGGCCUGAGAGGGCGACCGGCCACACUGGGACUGAGACACGGCCCAAACUCCUACGGGAGGCAGCAGUGGGGAAUAUUGCACAAUGGGGGAAACCCUGAUGCACCGACGCACCGUGCGGGAUGACGGCCUUCGGGUUGUAAACCGCUUUCAGCAGGGAAGAAGCCUUUAUCGGUGACGGUACCUGCAGAAGAAGUACCGGCUAACUACGUGCCAGCAGCCGCGGUAAUACGUAGGGUACAAGCGUUGUCCGGAAUUAUUGGGCGUAAAGAGCUCGUAGGUGGUUGGUCACUUCUGCUGUGGAAA
RNAcentral lists this ribosomal RNA (547 nucleotides) under Brevibacterium sp. RNAcentral's name for it is "bacterial SSU rRNA". It matches the Rfam family "Bacterial small subunit ribosomal RNA", at positions 46 to 600 of the family's 1533-position model. Lineage: Bacteria; Bacillati; Actinomycetota; Actinomycetes; Micrococcales; Brevibacteriaceae. The record is from RNAcentral.